AUGUGUCCAACAUUUCUGUCACUUUUAGGAACAAAGAGGCGCCAAACAAAGCCUAAAAGCGACAAUGAGAAUAUAAUUGAGGAGAGCAAUGUUACCACCAACAUUAGUCACGAUGCCAUUGUUUGCAAGAGACCAAAGAGAGAAGUUGGUUGUUCGAAUUUCAAUGAGAAGGCAUUUGACUUAUCUGAAGAAGAUUCACUUGUCACAACCAAGGAAAUCAUAAUUGAGGAGGAAAGAGAGGCAGUUAGAUUGACAAGUACAGGACCUGAAGAUAAGAAAUGCUGUAGAAAACUCAUCAAUUUCAUCCUACAUGGUAAAGAUGAUAAUCUGCAACCGUUAGAAAUGUCUCAGAGUGAUGGUGUCUCCAUGACAGCUCUUGUCAUGCCAUUUGAUGGUCAUAUCAAAAAGGACAGGAAAAGGGGAAUACGAUGUAUUAGAUUUGAGUGA
RNAcentral lists this ribosomal RNA (447 nucleotides) under Triticum aestivum (bread wheat). RNAcentral describes it as "partial small subunit ribosomal RNA". Lineage: Eukaryota; Viridiplantae; Streptophyta; Magnoliopsida; Poales; Poaceae. The record is from RNAcentral.